AUUGAACGCUGGCGGCAUGCGUAACACAUGCAAGUCGAACGGUGUUUGGUGCUUGCACCAGACAUAGUGGCGGACGGGUGAGUAAUGCGUAGGAAUCUGUCUUAGAGAGGGGGACAACCCGAGGAAACUUGGGCUAAAACCGCAUAUUCUCGAGAGAGGAAAGCAGGGGACCGGAAACGGCCUUGUGCUCUAAGGUGAGCCUACGUCGGAUUAGCUAGUUGGUAGGGUAAAGCCUACCAAGGCGAUGAUCUGUAGCUGGUCUGAGAGGACGGGCAGCCACACUGGGACUGAGACACGGCCCAGACUCCUACGGGAGGCAGCAGUGGGGAAUAUUGGACAAUGGGGGGAACCCUGAUCCAGCGAUGCCGCGUGUGUGAAGAAGGCCUGCGGGUUGUAAAGCACUUUCAGUGGGAAAGAGAAGCGUCUUGUGAAUAAUGGGACGUGGAGACGUUACUCACAGAAGAAGCAACCGGCUAACGUCUGUGCCAGCAGCCGCGGUAAUC
RNAcentral lists this ribosomal RNA (503 nucleotides) under uncultured bacterium. RNAcentral describes it as "bacterial SSU rRNA". It matches the Rfam family "Bacterial small subunit ribosomal RNA", at positions 29 to 525 of the family's 1533-position model. The record is from RNAcentral.